GUAAGUGCCUGCAUGUAUAUG
Molecule: non-coding RNA, 21 nt
Filed under: Mus musculus (house mouse)
Lineage: Eukaryota; Metazoa; Chordata; Mammalia; Rodentia; Muridae
Gene: mmu-miR-467b-5p
Source: miRBase by way of RNAcentral